This 4412-nucleotide long non-coding RNA is filed under the name Gallus gallus (chicken). Lineage: Eukaryota; Metazoa; Chordata; Aves; Galliformes; Phasianidae. The record is from RNAcentral.
GCGGGGUUUGAGGGGCGCGGGGCGCGCGGGCUGCGCCGGCGGGAGGCGGAGCCCUGAGGUGGUGUUCCCGCCCGGCAGGGCAGCGCCCUCCGCCCCUGAGGGACAGCGCGGCCGCCGAAGGGGCGAUCUGGCGCCGGGAGUCAAGUUGGGCGGUCCCCGCAGCGCUGGGGAGCAGUAGAGACUUUGGGUUUAUCUUCUCCUUUUUGAGCCCUGAGGAAACACUUGAAGAGGGGCAGAAAGGGCCGUGAGGAGAGCUCCGGGCCGAGGCAGGGCUUGCUGAGCACGCGGAGUGCGGUAGAGAUAGCAAAUCUGAGUUUGGAGUCACCUUCACUUCAAUAUUCUAGAGCUACAGAAUGAAUUGUGCUGGAGUUUCACUGGAGCGUCUCAGUGCUCCAAGCUACGGCAGUCACUGUGACCAGUUGCCACAGAAUAAGUGAUCUUCAGAUGGAGUUAACAACUGUUACUGGUGUUGAAGAAAGAGACUGGGAGUGAGGGCAAGAAUGCAGAGGACCUGCAGGGGUGACAGGAUAGAAGGAUGUGAAAACAGCUCAACAGCAGACUAAGAAGACAUGAGCUGUUCUGUGCUCACAGGAAAAUCAUUGGGAUUCUUGCCAUGAAUGCAGAACUGAGUUGCUUUCAGCAUUUCAGUACCCAUCACUAUAUUAUCUAGGCGCCACCACAAGAUUAAGGAGCUCAACAUGAUCUGCUCAGGGGUCAUUAGCAGAGCCUUUCAUACUGGAGAAGGUCGGAGGAGAGUAAGGAAGUGCACAACAGAAGGAAAGAAAAAGGAAAAGGAGGUGGUAAGCCAUUUUAGUUGUGCUCGUCCUGUGUGGCUUGCUUAGCUAGUAUGGAAAUAUAAGAGCCUCAUGACAGCUGUCUUUAUUCUGAUACAAGGACAAUAGGACUUGUUGUUACACUACUGUUAUGUCAGAAAAUUAUCUCACAUGGCCCACAGUUUGGAUCUUUACGAUUUCUGUAUAUUGCUGCCUCAGAACAAGAUAUUUGUCUCAGAAACUCCUAACAGAGAGCAAACACUUCAUCUCAGGUAGCCACCUUCUCCAAACUAAUUGGUUAAAAUUUGAUUUCUGGCUUAGCAUGUGAGUCCUACGAGCGCUUUAUGCUUUAGGAAGCAAAGAGAGUGUUUUCCAGUAUACACAAAGUUACAUAGGAUCCAUGGAAUUGGGAGACCCAAGCUGGUUUCCACUGAAAACGCUUGCUACAGGCUCUUUCAUUGCCAUGAGCACAUGCUGUCUGUACUGUGUUCACUGAUGCAGUCUGCUGUUACUGUUUCAGGAAAUACACUAGUAAGAGAAAAAAACUGCCAAAGCUCUUUUUUUUUCACCACUACAAUUAGGAAGGCUGGUGCAAUCCUGGUGAGGCCAAUGGCAGUAUGCUGACGUGCUCAAACAAACCCACUGAGGAUCUUUUGUACCACUUUGGUAUAAAAACACCAGGGGAUUUACACUAGGGAAUAAAUAGGUAGUUCCAAAGCAAGAAGGAAAGAGCCAAAGUUGGAAGCUGACCACAAUACGUGGGAGUAAGCGAUUACCAAAGGCUUCCAGUAACUCUGCUAUCAUCAGAGACUGGCUUUAUGGGUAUGGCCUCAAGAAGUUUCCCUCCACUUAAUUAAAGAGGCAGAUAAGUAUCUAGGUGGAGUGUGCAGAUAGGUUCUGAAUGAGUUAUCCACUAAGGCUGGUUCGCUGCACCUAUUGUUAAAGCCAAAAUAUAAUAUCAGAUUAAUGCAUUAUAUUUGCCUAUUAUAGCACUAUGUCAUCAUUAUAUGACAUGUUGUAAUUAAAGCCCUGCGUUAGAAACAAAACUAUUUGGCUUGGGAUAAGUUGCCUUUAUGACUUCUGUGGUUAUGAUUUCCUCCUUUUCUUAACCCCUUAAAAUGGCAUAAUAUAGCUAUUUGUAACUGUAUAAAGAAAGUUUCUAGUUUCAGAUUCUAAUCUCAGGUAAUUCAAUGUAAAUAAAGCCAAAAUCUGGCACAUAGUCUUUUCCUUGCCUGAAUAUUUGCAAAUAGAGGGAAAUGCCACACUGCUUGGGUGGAAGGAGUCACAAGGAUGGGCACUGGAUUAAAUGAGAGCGCACAUAACUCACCAUCUAGCCCAUUCAGUCUGUCCACAUUCGGUUCCUGAUUUUGUACACUUCCCCAUUAUUUUUCAGGGGAGGAAGACAUUCAGCAUGCUUUUACUCUUCUUUUUCUUUCCCGGAACUAUAUGAGGAAAAAAUGGUUAUUAGACUGCUUUCUGGAUGUAGCUCUCAGGAAACCAUGCUCACAAAUGCAAAUCUGAAAAAAAUGGGUGUGUGAUUGCAUCCCUAACUUGGAGAUACGAUUAAGAUUUCAGUUUGGAUAACUGACUAUGCUAAUGUGUUUAAUGAGUGAUUUGCAUAUGCAAGCUUUUAAAUUUCAGUAGUUGGUGAUUCAUGUAGUUAAGUGCCAGUCUUGGCCUUACUGUCAGAUUUAGGCACUCUGCCAGCCAUAUCCCCUAUCUCCCACAUCAAAUGCACAGAGCAAAUACUGUCACCACUCAAGAUGUAAUUUCCUGAAAAUAGCCAGGCUUUGUCUGUUUGAGAAGCAAGCGUGUUGCAGGGUUGUGAGUUUUCCUGCUGUUGUUCAGUAACAACUUUUAUUAUUUAAUAUUUUGCAAUGCUCUUAUAUAGAUCUUGCAGAUGUCUUUUAUAUUAGUAAUCAAAUUUUGCAUUUGUUUAGUUUGGAGAUGACCACCUUAAUAAAUGUUAAUUAUGAGAAUAUAGCUGCCAAUAGCCAGGGGUGCUAUCCCACUGACUUAGCCAAUCCAUGACAGUUGAUUCUGUUGCUGCAAUGCUGGUUACUCAGUAGUUUGCUUCCUAAUUCUUAGUGACCUUUCACCCAGACUUGGGCAGAGCUGGAUUUGGCCAUGGUAGCUUUGUGCAUGUUUGGGCCUUGGGCACAGUGGGCACUGUUGUGUUAUUUCUGUUUCACAGAGAUCUUGGAAAUGUGCAUUCUCUUCAUGGCACAUGGUUUCCUGUUCAGAAAGGUCCCAGGUGUAAGUGCUAGGUUUCUCAGAUCAUCAGUCUGGGAUAUAUGCAGACUUUUGAUGUAUAUAGCUUAUUGGAGACAGAUUUUUAGCUUCUCAUCUAAAAUAAUUAAAUUCCUAGAGGAAAAAGUGAAGAUUUAGAAAUAAUAAUAUGCAAAAAUGUGGGAUUUUUUUUUUUUGCAUACAAAUUUUAUGUCACCAGAUUUUGCCAUUGGUAGCCUGGCCUCGGCUCAAGAGGAAAUUUCCCUCCGUGGUGCUUCCUCACAUGAGUAAGGCACUGAACUCGGUCCCACCGCGCUGGCUCCUGCACAGCUCAGUCACUGUGGGCAAAGCAGGAUGGAAUGGGCAGUCCAGAAUGGUGUGUUCUUGUCACUGCUAAUUAAUUUUCUACCCUGCAAAAUACUUAACAGUAGAAAACACUGCUAAUUUCUUUUUUCUUUAAACAUUUCCAUCAUCCUUUAAAGGUGUUUUUAUGAGUUCCAUUCUAUCCUUUUCUGAGUUGACUGAUGAGUCAAGCCUAAUUACAUGGAUGGUUUAUUAUCAUGACUUGUUGUCCCUGAAUAACAUGUUAUUACAUACUCAAUAAAACUGCAGCUAUACCCACCAAUGUCAGGAAUUGCAUACUGUCAAAGACAAGGGGGUUUGAAAGGAAAAUGCUGAGGAGUCAGAGAAAUUCUGUGAACACUGAGCUCAGAUUCCAGAGGAGAAAAAGGAAGGUAGUAUCCAACUUUUCAGUCAUUUUAAAUACCUUGAAAGGUGUGAGGCAUGAUAAAAACACAGCCCCUGCAGAGGACUUCAUCAUAAGGAACAGCCUUCUGUACUCACUGGGUCAGAAAAAUGACUUUCUAAUGGCAUCUGCCUGUUUUACAUACAUAAUGAGCCAAACUAUGUGUGGUCGUGCUACUGCCUGGGAACACUUCUAGUCAUUGCCACCAGAAGAUUGGUCUAAAGAGCGUGCACUACAAAAUAACUCAGAGCUUUCCCUGCUGAAUUCAUUUUUAUUUUUGGCAUUUGAUACAGACUUUAAGUAAUUAAUGUAUGGUUUUGUGAAUGUCUCAUCUCAUAUUUCACACUUUUUUAAACAACGUAUACCUGAGACACCCUCCUCUGUUCUCCCAUGCCCAGGAAAUAUCUUUCUGUAGACAGCAGAACUGAAGUAUUCAAAGGUGAAGCAUCUCGUCCAAGAAACAAGUUUUCAUCAGUGCCAGAGACGAGACUUCAAUUUCUUUGCUCCAGACUCACUCUGUUAUCAUUCCUACCUAGUUAUAUGAUGCAGAGUCUUUGUAGCAGUGGCUGAAAAGCAGCUACCUGGACUUAACACCAAGCACAGGACCAGUGCAGCUUGCUGUACCACCCCAAAGCCCACCAGCUUGCUGGGCUGUGUAGUCUGAC